UGAAUUUUCACAUCCAAUUCUUAAUCAACACAAGAGGCUGGACUUUCCUACACUAUUCCUACAAUGUGUGGGUUCAAUGUUCAUUAUGAGCUGCCUGUUGUCAUACACACUCUGCUCUAGACCAAUCGAAAUAUACCCAGUUUUGUCCAGAAGUAAUGGGUGGAUUAAUUGGUCUCCUUAUCUGCUCUUCCUCUAUUUGGGCCUUUCUAGAAAAAGCAUUGAAUGGAAUGUUUCAUAUAAACCAUCUAUUGUUUGCAGCAACAAAAAA
Pelobates cultripes (western spadefoot toad) is the source of this 268-nucleotide non-coding RNA. The record is from the annotation of a GenBank genome assembly. NCBI's taxonomy places the organism in Eukaryota, Metazoa, Chordata, Amphibia, Anura, Pelobatidae.